CGGUUUAAGAUGCAAACAGGAAGUCGAUUUUUUUUUGUCGCCAUUUUGUGGUUGGGGAAAACGAGGUGCUCCAGCAGAAGCCAACAACCAGCCAGGGAAAAGGCGAGCGCCUUUUGCGGACAAUAGUUUUGGGCGAAAAGUAUAAAAUACCCUAUUCAGGGUAUAUUCAGAAUGUCGAAGAUCUGUUUCAUCAACGAAUGUUUACACAGCAAAGCCAAGACUACUUUUAGGUGCGCUCACAGAAAAAGUGGCAAUCCUGUCGUGUUUUCCCCCAACAUCGACAUGACAGCGACCGAGGUCAGAUCGAGCCGUUCCAGUUCAAUUCCCGUCAGGACAGCGAUGUUACCGGUGACAGCCUGCCAGGCCCUUUCCCGGCAAAACUGCCCCCUUGACGGGACUUGGAGACAGUGGAUCCGCAACCUCGUUUUGCAACUGCAGUGUACAGAAAUGACAAAAUAAGAAGGCCAAUCGGAGGAGGAUGCCAUGAUUUGAAAUUGAAACAUUUGUUCACGGGAAGAGUCUGACAUGAAGACAUUUUGAUGGCUUUGUCGAGACCGCUGCUGGCCAUGUAUAAUCAUAAUAUGCCAAGUUGCAAUUCUUUAUACAGUGCAGUUCCAUUCAUGACUACGCCAAAUUCUUAAAAUAUUGACUUGUCACUUAUAAUUACCCCCCACCCCAAAAUAUGGAAAGCAAUAGUCCCCUCACAUUUUUAGCCACCAUUUUAAUGCUGACAUAUUUUGAAGGACUGACAUAGAAACAACAACAAAUGCUUCCUUCCCAUACGGUCGUAUGUCGUAGUCUAACAAGUAUUACGAAAGGGCUGCAAAGUGUCAUGUUGUUCCUCAACGUCUAUGAUGAAUAAAGGUCUUAGCACAGUUUUCUGCAUAUGGCUGGGCAUUAUUUGAUGAAGCUUUGCUUUGCAUCGGUGGCCUUUUUCCUUGCUGCGAUUCUGUGGUCUCGCAAAUUUUUCAGUGACUAUUGAAGUUUGCCUGAAGGGAGAUGCGGAGCCCAGGCCGAGGUCUAUGCCUGAGAGCUUGUAC
Molecule: long non-coding RNA, 1040 nt
Organism: Hippocampus comes (tiger tail seahorse)
Lineage: Eukaryota; Metazoa; Chordata; Actinopteri; Syngnathiformes; Syngnathidae
Exons: 2
Source: RefSeq, a predicted model, not a curated record